Molecule: long non-coding RNA, 1668 nt
Filed under: Anas platyrhynchos platyrhynchos (common mallard)
Lineage: Eukaryota; Metazoa; Chordata; Aves; Anseriformes; Anatidae
Description: lncRNA (ENSAPLG00000022007.1)
Source: RNAcentral
CUUUUGCUGCAGAAAAUAGCAAUGCCUUCCACCAACAGCUCGGCAAAGCCCCCCUGGACAUCACUUCAGAGAUCUUGCAGGAGAACUGACAUAGUGACUAUCUCACUUGAAUAUGAAUACAACAGGUUCAAGAAACUGCUUUCAUCAUUCAACCCUCGAUUUGGGUGCUGUUGAAUUUCCCCCAAAGUGUAGUACCACGAGAACUCUGUUUUAAAACUUUUUUCGUUUGAGUGAGGAUGAAACCAAAUGGGAAAUUCCUCAGAGGAUGCAGCAGCUUACCUAAACUGUUAAAACACCAGAUUUAGUUGAAUUAAUUCAGGAAAAGGACCUUUGUAGAGUCCCUUAGGUUCUAUCAUGACACAUUUAAAAAAAGAGAACAUUCUGAUUAUUUAAGAGAGCAUAUGAGUUUCUCUGAGCAUGUGCUGAAGGCUCCCAUGGUUCCCAUGUCCCACCAAGUUCCUCUGAGGCCACACUGCCUGUAAGAUCCUCAUUGCCAAGACAUCUUUUCAGGAGGUAGACUAGCUAUUCUUCUUCUUCUCUAAAUGCAUUUUUCUGGUGGUUAGAUAUUCACACCUGAGCCAGACUUAAACUCUGGCUUAGACUCCUUUUGUAGCCUUCCUUUUUUGGGAAGACAUAAGCCCUUCUCUGUGCAAUUCAUCAGACCUCAACAGUUUAGGCUGAAAUGAGUGACACCUGCCUUCUCUCCACUGAUUAAAAAGGAGGUUGUGUUUGACUAAUCAAUGAAAAUAUCAGUAUUUCAUCUGCCUGAAGUCAAGGAAUCAUGGAAUAAUUUAAGCUAGAAGGUAAUUCUGGAGCUUAUCUGAUCCAACAUCCCAAAGAAGGAUCGGGUUGUUCAGACGCUUAUCCAGUUGAGUGUUGAAAUAUCCACUGUUGGACAUUUCACUACCCCUUCUAGGCAGCACGUUCACUGGGGAAAAAAAAUCUACGUGUACUUGCAUGCAAUCAGAUUUUCACAUAAUAGAACUGCUCCCUUCUGUCUCUUUUCUCUUUCUGGCGUAGUAUGAGAUCCUUUCACUCUGGGUUACCCUGGCUGUCUUUAUAGUCCUCCUUUAGGAAAGUCUGUAAAGGCAGGAGCAAAUCCCAUUCUUGGUUCCUUGGUCACAUCUUUGUAUUGUUUGGAACCUCAGCAGACCCCAAGAUGUUUCAGAUUAAGUAUUCUAUAAUCAGAUGCUGAGAUAUUCCAGGGAAGCUUUCUUUUCCAUCAGAAAUUUUAUAUCCAGCACUAAGGUUGAAGUGGGAAGAUUUAGCCUAGGUUACUAAUUUAUUUUCUAUUUUGGGUUCAUCCUUCCUUUGGUAGCUGAGCUGGAUUUACACCUCUUGGUAUAAUCUGAUGCUGGUACAAGCAUGUGUUUUGCUAUUGGAGGCAUAACAAAAAGCUUGUCCCACAAUCCAGGACAUAGCUCAUUCCUUGUAGAACUUUCAGUCUAUAUAAAGCCCAGUACAACUGAGUGCAAAACAGAUAGAAAGAGCACAUAGGUCACAACUGCAAGGCUAAGUGACAAUACAAUGGACCCUGUGAAUGUACUCAUUGGUUUUAAGUUACCAAUUGUUUUGUUUAGUUCCAUUUCUAUUUUUCUUUUAGCAUAUUUGUGAUCUGCUUGCUGCUUUAAAGAAAAUUAAAAACAAAUAAAAACAAUGCAAAACUCA